Phalacrocorax carbo (great cormorant) is the source of this 773-nucleotide non-coding RNA. The record is from RefSeq and is a predicted model, not a curated record. Lineage: Eukaryota; Metazoa; Chordata; Aves; Suliformes; Phalacrocoracidae.
GCCUGGAAGACGCACAGGAACUAAAACACAAAGCCUCAUCACCCGGGAUUUAGUCUCGUUUCUGUCCUGGUGAGACGGCUUUUUUUAAGCCUUUUGCUCUCCCUGGAUGUUCUGCAUCUUACUGAUGUACUCAAGGACACCGGGUCCGGGAAGUCACAAACACCACAGGAAGAAAGAUGAAAAGAGAAGCACAGCCUGAGAGGAUUGGGGUCUGGAUUCAGCUUGGGAAGGCUUCCUCUGGCUUGUCGUAAGGUGAAGUUAGAAAGCAAAAAGAAACCUGAGGCUGGAAGAGACCCUGGAGGACAACAAUGAGUGUUUGUCGGCGGCUGGGAGGCAGGUACGAUGCUCACUGCGAUGGGGACGGCCGCCAAGCACUGGGCAGACCCCGCGCGCUGCCCCCGGCAGCACCGGCACGCACGGCCGCAGGCUGCUCCACCGCCAGCACCACUGGAACGCCAGGGAGGACUCCUUCCCUCUUGCUUUUGGGAGAGCAGAAGCUUACGGCGCUGGCGGUACCGCGGGUGCUCCCGGGUGGGGAAGGGGUAUUUAUGCAGGUUUCUGAGGAGCGCUGAGACCCGUCCCUGGGGAGCGGGGGCGAGGGGAUGAGUGCCACGGUCCCUGCCCUGUCCUGUGGGGGCAAGGCAAUAAAGUGGCAGAAAAAAAUGACAGGAAUUUCCUCUUUUACUUUUCCCACCCCUUAAUAAGUCAGGCCUGUCAGAUGCCACUGGCUGUGAGCUUGACUCAUCUGUAACACUGCCUUUGGGGAUCCUCUG